This 677-nucleotide ribosomal RNA is filed under the name Stutzerimonas stutzeri. RNAcentral describes it as "bacterial SSU rRNA". It matches the Rfam family "Bacterial small subunit ribosomal RNA", at positions 89 to 761 of the family's 1533-position model. The record is from RNAcentral. Lineage: Bacteria; Pseudomonadati; Pseudomonadota; Gammaproteobacteria; Pseudomonadales; Pseudomonadaceae.
GAUUCAGCGGCGGACGGGUGAGUAAUGCCUAGGAAUCUGCCUGGUAGUGGGGGACAACGUUUCGAAAGGAACGCUAAUACCGCAUACGUCCUACGGGAGAAAGUGGGGGAUCUUCGGACCUCGCGCUAUCAGAUGAGCCUAGGUCGGAUUAGCUAGUUGGUGAGGUAAAGGCUCACCAAGGCGACGAUCCGUAACUGGUCUGAGAGGAUGAUCAGUCACACUGGAACUGAGACACGGUCCAGACUCCUACGGGAGGCAGCAGUGGGGAAUAUUGGACAAUGGGCGAAAGCCUGAUCCAGCCAUGCCGCGUGUGUGAAGAAGGUCUUCGGAUUGUAAAGCACUUUAAGUUGGGAGGAAGGGCAGUAAGCUAAUACCUUGCUGUUUUGACGUUACCGACAGAAUAAGCACCGGCUAACUUCGUGCCAGCAGCCGCGGUAAUACGAAGGGUGCAAGCGUUAAUCGGAAUUACUGGGCGUAAAGCGCGCGUAGGUGGUUCGUUAAGUUGGAUGUGAAAGCCCCGGGCUCAACCUGGGAACUGCAUCCAAAACUGGCGAGCUAGAGUAUGGCAGAGGGUGGUGGAAUUUCCUGUGUAGCGGUGAAAUGCGUAGAUAUAGGAAGGAACACCAGUGGCGAAAGGCGACCACCUGGGCUAAUACUGACACUGAGGUGCGAAAGCG